This 418-nucleotide ribosomal RNA is filed under the name uncultured bacterium. Its description in RNAcentral is "bacterial SSU rRNA". It matches the Rfam family "Bacterial small subunit ribosomal RNA", at positions 11 to 436 of the family's 1533-position model. The record is from RNAcentral.
GUUUGAUCCUGGCUCAGAUUGAACGCUGGCGGCAUGCCUUACACAUGCAAGUCGAACGGCAGCACGGGAGCAAUCCUGGUGGCGAGUGGCGAACGGGUGAGUAACAUAUCGGAACGUGCCCAGUAGUGGGGGAUAGCCCGGCGAAAAGCCGGAUUAAUACCGCAUACGACCUGUGGGUGAAAGCGGGGGAUCGCAAGACCUCGCGCUAUUGGAGCGGCCGAUAUCAGAUUAGCUUGUUGGUGGGUAAAAGCCUACCAAGGCGACGAUCUGUAGCUGGUCUGAGAGGACGACCAGCCACACUGGGACUGAGACACGGCCCAGACUCCUACGGGAGGCAGCAGUGGGGAAUUUUGGACAAUGGGCGCAAGCCUGAUCCAGCCAUGCCGCGUGCGGGAGAAGGCCUCGGUGUAACGACUUG